This 91-nucleotide small RNA is filed under the name Streptococcus agalactiae ATCC 13813. Its description in RNAcentral is "Trans-activating crRNA". It matches the Rfam family "Trans-activating crRNA". Rfam says of the family: RNA-guided Streptococcus pyogenes Cas9 (SpCas9) is a sequence-specific DNA endonuclease, the Trans-activating CRISPR RNA form an hybrid with the crRNA (crRNA/tracrRNA). The record is from Rfam by way of RNAcentral. Lineage: Bacteria; Bacillati; Bacillota; Bacilli; Lactobacillales; Streptococcaceae.
UGUUGGAAUUAUUCGAAACAGCACAGCGCGUUAAAAUAAGGCUAGUCCGUAUUCAGCUUGAAAAAGUGAGCACCGAUUCGGUGCUUUUUUA